RNA transcript from Lathyrus oleraceus (garden pea), 1692 nucleotides. RefSeq lists it as uncharacterized. The transcript has 6 exons. The record is from RefSeq and is a predicted model, not a curated record. NCBI's taxonomy places the organism in Eukaryota, Viridiplantae, Streptophyta, Magnoliopsida, Fabales, Fabaceae.
GAACACGCUAAUCACGUUGGCAUGCCACUGUCAAGUUAAACAACUCAAGUCAAUUCAAAUCACCCUCUCCUAAAUUCAAGCCUCCUCCGCCGUGCCGAAAUUCGUUUCUGGUGGCGGCGGAGCCUAAACCACUAAAUUCAUAUACCAUACUUCUCAUUUACACACCCUGAAUUCAAAUACUUGAUCAGAUUCUCCAAACUCAUCACAAAUUAAUCGAAUCGAGGUGAUUUCUCUAUGAACCCUAGACAGUAAAACUCAAGUUAAACUCUCCCUACCUGGAAUUGAAUCCCUAGGGGGUUUUGAUUCCAUUCAUCUCCAACUACAUUAUGGUAACAAGUUCGAUGCGAAACAAUGAAGAAAUCAACCUACCUUCCGGAGACGACGAAGAUGAAGAGGAUUCCGUCUGUAGGUUGCGUUGAUGUUGUUUCAUUAUGUGAGAAAAGAGUGAAGGGAUUGAGGUUGAAGCUCAAUUGAUUAGAGCUUUUGAUGCUGAAGCUCUAACAAUUAUGAUGGUUCAGAGUGUGUGGUGAGGGCUAUGAAAGAUGGAGAGAAAGAAUCACAGGGAGAACGAGAGAGUGAUGAUGAAUCGUGGCGAUGAUCCCCCAAUGAUUGGGAAUGAUUGGAAUUUAUAUAGAGUGGUGAUUGCAAUAGAAUUGGGCAGCUCGGGUAGCUCUGUUAGGCCAGUUCACAAUGUUAACUCUUCCAAGGGUUGUGGCUGCAGGAUAUUGCACAUUGUUGGACAUGAUUUCGUAUGCUAUGGUUAGGAAAUUAGGUUGGUUUGCUGAUGUAAAUGAUGAUUGUUGUCAAUUUUGGACGCUCUGUUAUGUCUCGAGUGACCUCCUACAGGACUAUGGCCAAGGUAUUGGAGGGUCUGUUGCAUACAUGUUUUGCAGGUUAAUGUCGUUGUUUGGCCUGCUGCAGGGUUUGAAGUUAUAGGUUGCAACUGAACCAUUUGCACUUAUGCUUAUAGGCUACAUAUUGUUAUGGUUAUAACUUAAUUUGCAGGAUGCACUUGCAACAGAUGGCCUGUCAUUGAGUCAAAACCUUGCUUGAAUUGUAUGACUGUGUAGUGUGUGCAUCCACCUAUGCCCUAUCAAGCUCACAACUAGGGCUUGAGACCUUCACAGAAAGAGAUCAAUCAAGGAGUGGUUUACCAUUGGUUCUAAACAUUAUAUAUAGAUCCCCAUGUUCCUCAUUUAUCAUUUUGAUCAAGAAUUCAUCAAGAGUUUGAAGUUUGUUUGCCUUGGAAGCCCUAAUUCAUCUAGGUAUCUUGUGUGACUUCCUCAGUAAGUUUCUUCAACAAUUAAUCAAAUAUAUCAAGGGAUACUUCAUUUUACAUCAUCUUAUGCAUAUAUGAUCCUCUAUGAGCUCUAAAGAUCAAAAGAACUUCAAGUUUGCAAGUUGGUUCAAAGAGGUUGACCAGAGAAAGUCAACUGAUCAGAACUGGGGUUCCCUAGACCCUAUCUCCUACAAUUUUUGUCAUAUGAAAUGAUUCAAAGAUAAAAUUUACUCUUUAUGACAUUACAAACAACUUUCAUGUUCGCAUUAAGAUCUAGUUUUGCUUGGAAAGUCAUUUUUUAUGGUGAAACAUUAUAGGUCAUUUUGUUUGUGCCCUAGUUAGGAGGUCAACUUCCAAGGACCAUAACUUGGUCAAUUUUUAUGAUAUGAAGGACAUAUAAGUUUCAUGAUAAA